This 244-nucleotide ribosomal RNA is filed under the name uncultured bacterium. RNAcentral's name for it is "partial 16S ribosomal RNA". It matches the Rfam family "Bacterial small subunit ribosomal RNA", at positions 528 to 771 of the family's 1533-position model. The record is from RNAcentral.
UAGGGGGCGAGCGUUGUCCGGAAUGAUUGGGCGUAAAGGGCGCGUAGGCGGCCUGUUAAGUCUGGAGUGAAAGUCCUGCUUUCAAGGUGGGAAUUGCUUUGGAUACUGAUAGGCUUGAGUGCAGGAGAGGUUAUCGGAAUUCCCGGUGUAGCGGUGAAAUGCGUAGAGAUCGGGAGGAACACCAGUGGCGAAGGCGGGUAACUGGACUGCAACUGACGCUGAGGCGCGAAAGUGUGGGGAGCAA